UUUCUUGUUUUCCCAGAUCUAGUUGAGGUAAAAUAGAGUUUUCUGAAAGAAUGGAAUAUGCAGAGGUCUCAGAAACUAAAAAUCUUAUUUUUCAAAUUUUCAAAGGAAGGAAUGGAAAUUGAGUUAACAAUUUUGACAUAAAAUUGAAGAAACAUCCCAGAACUAAAGAUGAAAGAGCGGUGAUAAGAAAUACUAGAGAAUGAAAAGUGACAUGGGACAUGGAAACCAGGUGGUUCAGUCUUUUGAGAAGACAGAAGCAACAAAGAAAAUAAAUACUAUGACACCACAAUCCCUAGUUACCAAGAAAUAUUGCAUGAAUACUAAAAUUGCUUGGGCAGAUGGAAAAGAGGCCCUUUGUCGGAUCUUGUCUUCCAGUCAAUUUUGAAUCAAGAAAGACCCAUUGAUGACUCCUUUGAGAAGAGUCUGUUUUGAGGAAGGAGAAGGAAAUACAUUUGAGAGAAGGCAUACAGACCAAAAGGGUGAUAGAAACAUGCGUCAUGUGCUCAGAGCACUGAGAACUUCCCAGAGUGAACACUGAGAACUGAGUAGGGACUGAUUAAAGAAUGACUGCAUUUUGUGAGUUUUGAAGGAAAAAUGCUGGUCUUCUAAUGUGGACAGUCAGACCUAGAACCAUGUGUCGAUAUCAGCUCUGCACAUCAGUGCCUUCUUUGUGCUCUGUGAAGGGUGGCAUGCUUGCUUUCUUCUCAGCAGUACUUCUAAGACAAAUGAAAAUGAUAGUGUCUGCCAAAACCUGGGAAAUACAGUCUGUAUGUUUAUUACUAGAGCUUUGCAAUGUAUUCCUCUUGGCAUUUAAAAAUUUUAUAGUACUCAACACCAAUUAUGACCUUUUGUCAAUAAAUAUUAAUUUCUCAAAAU
Nannospalax galili (Upper Galilee mountains blind mole rat) is the source of this 876-nucleotide long non-coding RNA. RefSeq lists it as uncharacterized. The transcript has 2 exons. The record is from RefSeq and is a predicted model, not a curated record. Lineage: Eukaryota; Metazoa; Chordata; Mammalia; Rodentia; Spalacidae.